Molecule: long non-coding RNA, 676 nt
Organism: Mercurialis annua (annual mercury)
Lineage: Eukaryota; Viridiplantae; Streptophyta; Magnoliopsida; Malpighiales; Euphorbiaceae
Exons: 2
Source: RefSeq, a predicted model, not a curated record
UGUUUGUUUAGAGUAAAUUAGGCCCUGAAUGGGAAUGGGAAUGGCCCAUUCCCAUAGUAUGUGUUUGUUUCACAAAUUAAGCCCAGGAAUGGGAAUGCUAAGACCCCUGGAAUGGGAAUCAUCCAUUCCCUAGCAUAUCCACUUCAAUCAUUCUCAUUCCUGACCUAAUUUUCUAUUUCAAAAAACACGAUGCUUUACUAUUUUUCUCUAUUGCUCCAUCGCUACUGGUGCCACUGCUCAACUACCGCCAUCGCCUCCACUUUGCAACUGCUUCCGCCUCUCUGAAGCUGCUUCCGCCUCUCAUCAGCUACUUCCGCCUCCACUCAUCAGCUGCUUCCGCCUCCACUCAUCAGCUGCUUCCGCCUCCACUCAGUAGCUACCGUUCAUCUACUCUGCAGUUAUUGUUCUGCUACUCCGCUGUCACAACUGAUCUGCUACCUCCGCCCCUGAUCUGUUAUCGCUACCGCUUAUCUUACUCCAGUUAAUUACUCCAAAGCUAUUGGCAGUGUUUUCGAGUGUUUCAAUUUUAAAAUUAUCAUGUAUUUUUUUAGUUUAUAGAUUAGAACGAUGUUGAUUAAAACGUUGAUGUUUGUGUUAUAAACAAAUUAUUCUAGACAUAUUUCUAAUGAAUGAUUUAAUUGCAAUUUAUAAAAAUUAUGUAUUUAAUUAUCUUUUA